CUGUGCCCGUUUCCAGGCCUAGGACUAAAGACACUGCAAGCUUUCAUUUCCUGGCCCUUGGAACACUCUCUUGGAGCCCAGAGUCACUCUGAUAAAGACAAAUUCAAAUUAUCAACAAAGAAAAAAGAAGUUAUCAGCAAAGGGAAAAAAAUCAAGAUUGGCUUCAGGAGUAACACUAGAUCACAGAAUAAAAAUGAACCCACAAACUUAGAAGGUGACUGGAUGAACAAAUUCUGAAGUAUACUCAGCAAUUACAGGAAUCAACUAGAUCCCCACAACAGCAUUAGUUGAAUCUCAGAAACAUCAUUCUGGAUGAAAGAAGCCAUACACAAAAGAGUAUGUACAAUAUUACUUCAUUCUUAUGAAAGUCUAGCGGGUAAAAUAAAUCUAUGGUGACAGAAAUAAAUUAACGGAUGCCUAGGAAACAGAUUGACUGCAAAGGGGCCAAAAGGAAUGUUUUGGAUUGAUGAAAAUGCUUAUUAUCUCUUGACUAUGAUGAUGGUUACAAAUUUGUGUACAUUGGUCAAGACUUGUCCAACUAUACACUUAAGGUGAGUGUGUUUUAUUGUAUUAAAUUGUUCUCAAUGAGAUUGCUUUUAAAAGAAAAAACAAAUAAAAAAGUAAAGCCCAACAAAUGCGAUUGAAAAAAAACUUUUUUAAGAUGAAAUUUGUACCUUUUAAGACACACAGGUAGAGAAUUUGUCAUCAACCCCCAUCCUAAAAGAAGUAUUAGAGUGAGCUGUUCACACAGAUGGAAAUAUGAUUCCUGAUGGAAGAAUGGAGACAGAAAGAUAAAGAACACUGGAAAUGGUCAAUAUGUGGGAAAUCUAAAUAACAAUUAUUAUGUUUGAAUCUAAUAAUAAUAAUCUUAAUAAUGAUCCGUCGGUUGUUAAAUUCAUGAAGAAAUAAAAUACGUGACAAUUGCACAAAAGGUGGAAGUUGGGUAAAUGGAGUCAAAGAGUGUUCUUGGCUCUUUGCAUUGUAACAGUGAUAAAUGUACUAAUUUAGGAUAUGUACCAGGGGGUCCAUGUUGUAAGCUCUAGGUCAAUCACUAACAAAAUAAUGACAGCAUAUAAUUCGUAAGCGGGAAAUGGAAGAAUAAGAACACAAUGCAUUCCAUCAAAAGGAAGGAAGGAGUUAAAGGAGAACGUAGAACAGAUGAGAUGACUAGAAAGCAAAUAGUAAGAUUAUAGAUUGAAAUCCAAAAUAAUCAGUCGUCACCAUCC
Herpailurus yagouaroundi (jaguarundi) is the source of this 1226-nucleotide long non-coding RNA. RefSeq lists it as uncharacterized. The record is from RefSeq and is a predicted model, not a curated record. NCBI's taxonomy places the organism in Eukaryota, Metazoa, Chordata, Mammalia, Carnivora, Felidae. The transcript is spliced from 3 exons.